This 57-nucleotide ribosomal RNA is filed under the name Ipomoea nil (Japanese morning glory). RNAcentral describes it as "partial small subunit ribosomal RNA". The record is from RNAcentral. Lineage: Eukaryota; Viridiplantae; Streptophyta; Magnoliopsida; Solanales; Convolvulaceae.
UUGGAAGGGAAGGAGUGUAACAAGGUUUCCGUAGGUGAACCUGCGGAAGGAUCAUUG